This 24-nucleotide microRNA is filed under the name Ananas comosus (pineapple). RNAcentral describes it as "microRNA s0120_c052". The record is from RNAcentral. Lineage: Eukaryota; Viridiplantae; Streptophyta; Magnoliopsida; Poales; Bromeliaceae.
GAAAUCCUUGAUCCUUGACCUGGU